GCCUCGAUAGCUCAGGUGGGGGAUCAUUAGGCAGAAGAUCUGAAGGUUUCUGGUUUGAUCCCGGGUCGGGGGA
RNAcentral lists this transfer RNA (73 nucleotides) under Phytophthora infestans (potato late blight agent). RNAcentral describes it as "tRNA-Phe". The record is from RNAcentral. Lineage: Eukaryota; Oomycota; Peronosporomycetes; Peronosporales; Peronosporaceae.